Long non-coding RNA from Pantherophis guttatus, 609 nucleotides. RefSeq lists it as uncharacterized. The record is from RefSeq and is a predicted model, not a curated record. Lineage: Eukaryota; Metazoa; Chordata; Lepidosauria; Squamata; Colubridae.
AGAAGUGCUGGGAAACCGUCAGCAAGAGACCUGGGAAGAGAGCAUUCAGUUGGCAUUCAGAGCCAAGCGGGAAAUGGUGGGGGCCAGCGGCACACGUGGGCAAGCAAGAAAUGGUGGGAAAUGGGGCGGGCUAGCAGCUUGCCUUCCAGACAGUGCGGGAAAGCAGGAAACGGCAGGAAAUGGCACAGGCACAACUUCGUGAGAUUUUUUUCUUUGGCAAGAAGUUGGAAUUGAUAGAUUGAACUUUUUUUUUAGCCCCACAAACUUUCGUUUCCCUGCACACGACGGCGAGAAACACAAUGGAGCUGGAAAUAAGUUUUUGGAAUGUGGCGUCUGGCAAAUAUAAUACACAAACCCAAAGAUUAGAAAGAAUUUUAACAUGAUGCUUUUUCUCCAAAUCUGGAAAUCAACAAAAGGUCUUCAUCAAUUCUACAUGGCUACAAAUUUGCAUGCUCAGAAAAUGCAUAAGUAGAUGUAUUAUAUUUAGGGCAGUGAUUCAAACGAGCAUGAAUCUACAGUUACUUAGUAUUACAUGAAGACUGACUUCUGAAUAUAUUAUAUCUUUGAAAAUACCCCAAAGCUUGAAUGGAGUAAAAAAAAAAAAUCACA